UCUCUCUCUCUCUCCCACUCAUGCUGUCACUGUCUCUCUCAAAAUAAAUAAGCUUUAAAAAAAGUGUGGAGGAAGGAAGCAGAAGAGGAAGGUAGGGUGAUACUGCGUGAUAAGCUAUCCCUGUGUUUUGCUGCUCCAAGACGUGGAAGGAGGGCCAUGAGCCACAGAAUGUAGGCAGCCUCUAAAAGCUGGAAAGGCCGAAGAAAUGAGUUCUCCGUAGAGAGUCUCCAGAAAGGAACACAGCAAUACUGACAGCUUGACCGUGGCCUUCUGAGACAUAUUUCCAACUUCUGACCUCCAGAACGCAUCACUGGCACCCCCCCAGUCAUGGUAAUCCUCUGACUAAGUUCACACCGAGGACGUAUCAUAUCAACACCGAGUGGAGUUCUACGUGGUGCCCUAUUGACCCCAAAAACUGGGUAGUGGCUUGACUUUGUGAGGAUUUGUGCACUCUGCUUUGAGGAAACUCAUCAACUUAGUGCAUCCUGAGCUGAAGCUCGCCUCGCCACUCUGUAUGCACCAGACCUCCACACCCGAGGCUUAUCACAAGCAAUUAUCUUACCCAAAUAAAAAAUGAAAAUGGAAAAGUUAAAUAAAUAACAGGACAUCUUGAUGGAAUCGCAGUAAUGCUCAUCUUGGUUAACAUUAGCCCUGACUUUUGGACAGCUAGAUUUGUUAAUACGCUUGUCCUUUGUUUAGGCAUCUAUCUGGAAAUCUCGUGACUUUCCAAAAUGAUGGAUGGCAGCCAUCUCACCCUCUCCUAAAAAAAAAAAAAAAAAAAAAAAAAAAAAAAAUACAACACUCUCCAGGAAACUGGAAGAAGCGAAAUGGACACUGUAGACCUGACCUAAGCGUGGCUGAGAUCGGAGAAAACCGCAAAACUGAGCUCACCUAAAAAUUACCACUGUCUUCUCCACAGCGUGUUCAGUGUUCUGUUGUUCCAGGAUUCCUGCUCUGCAUUCCUGCACCAGUCAGGCCUCAGUGCACUUGAACUGGAAAACUGAAACCUGGGAUAGCCGUCAGGAUGGACCAGCUUGGGCUCUGGCACAAACCAUCCUAAGCCUCAGGGGUUUGACCCAGCAGACGUGUUUAUUCCUUCUUCAUGCAAAGCCCUGUAGGUGCUACUGGUUUGUCACGACAGUUGCCCUUGCAGAUCUCCAGCCUGGCAUCGCACGCUGCUUUGACCUCAGAGCACCUCCGUCCCACUGUGCCGUCUUCCUGUGGCCGCAACAAAGAGAAGACUGGAGAUUCAGGCACUGACGAGUACACGCUUUGGCAAGGAGGGGACACAGGCUGGCUCCCUUCACAUUUCCUUGGCUGAAACCGGUCCUGUGGUCAGCCCAACCACCAGAGGUUAGGAGAGCCCAGUGGGAAGCGCAGGAACAGUCCAUGUCACUGGACAUGAGCAAAGUCUAAUUCCUCAGGAACUUUGACCACUGACGGUUGUUUUUCUGUACUCGCCCUAAGUGUACUGGCAACUGAACUCAGGUGUCAGCCGUCUGGGGGUUCCUGGGUCCUAUAGACUUUGCAAGUUGCCCUUUCUAUAUAAAAAUAUAUGAAUUAUCAUUUUAAAAUUGACUAUUUUUAAGAGCGGUUUUAGGUUCAAUGUUGGGCAGCAAGUACAGAGACUUCCCAGAGACCCCCUGCUCUCCCCACGCCCUACAGCCUCCCCAACUAUCAACAUCCCCCACCCGAGUUGUACAUUUGUUAUAGCUGAUGGACCUACAUUGACACAUCAUUAUCACCCAAAGUCCAUAGUUCAUGUUAGAGUUCACUCUUGGUGUUGGACAUUUUAUGGGUUUGGACAAAUGUGUGAGGACAUGCAUCCAUCAUUAUGGUAACAUACAGAAUAGUUUCACUGCCCUGAAAAUCCUCUGUGCGCCAAUACACAGACGCACAGAAGAUUCCAGAGAACAGAGGAUUCCUCCUUCUGAUCUUCUUACUGCCUCUGUAGUUUUGCCUUUUCCAGAAUGUCAUGUAUUUGGAACCGUAUAGUAUGCAGCCUUUCCGGAUCAGCAUUCUCCAUGUCUUUUCAUGGCUUAAUAGCUCAUUUCUUUUGACCACGGAAUAAUAGUCCAUUGUUUAGAUGUGCCACAAUUUAUUUGUCCAUUCACCCACUGAAGGAAAUCUUGAUUGGUUCCAAG
Molecule: long non-coding RNA, 2144 nt
Organism: Felis catus (domestic cat)
Lineage: Eukaryota; Metazoa; Chordata; Mammalia; Carnivora; Felidae
Exons: 3
Source: RefSeq, a predicted model, not a curated record